Molecule: ribosomal RNA, 438 nt
Filed under: uncultured bacterium
Lineage: Bacteria
Description: bacterial SSU rRNA
Rfam family: Bacterial small subunit ribosomal RNA
Source: RNAcentral
CUACGGGAGGCAGCAGUGGGGAAUAUUGGACAAUGGGCGAAAGCCUGAUCCAGCAAUGCCGCGUGAGUGAAGAAGGCCUUCGGGUUGUAAAGCUCUUUUACCCGGGAAGAUAAUGACUGUACCGGGAGAAUAAGCCCCGGCUAACUCCGUGCCAGCAGCCGCGGUAAUACGGAGGGGGCUAGCGUUGUUCGGAAUUACUGGGCGUAAAGCGUACGUAGGCGGCUUUGUAAGUCAGAGGUGAAAGCCCACGACUCAAUCGUGGAACUGCCUUUGAGACUGCUUCGCUUGAAGAUGGGAGAGGUUAGUGGAAUUCCGAGUGUAGAGGUGAAAUUCGUAGAUAUUCGGAAGAACACCAGUGGCGAAGGCGGCUAACUGGACCAUUCUUGACGCUGAGGUACGAAAGCGUGGGGAGCAAACAGGAUUAGAUACCCUGGUAGU